UACGUAGGUGGCAAGCGUUGUCCGGAUUUAUUGGGUUUAAAGGGUGCGUAGGCGGUCUAUUAAGUCAGUGCUGAAAUAUCCCGGCUUAACCGGGAGGGUGGCAUUGAUACUGAUGGACUUGAGUAAAGUUGAGGUAGGCGGAAUUGACGGUGUAGCGGUGAAAUGCUUAGAUAUCGUCAAGAACACCGAUAGUGUAGACAGCUUACUAAGCUUAACUUGACGCUGAGGCACGAAAGUGUGGGGAUCAAACAGG
This 253-nucleotide ribosomal RNA is filed under the name uncultured bacterium. RNAcentral describes it as "partial 16S ribosomal RNA". It matches the Rfam family "Bacterial small subunit ribosomal RNA", at positions 524 to 776 of the family's 1533-position model. The record is from RNAcentral.